Molecule: ribosomal RNA, 468 nt
Filed under: uncultured bacterium
Lineage: Bacteria
Description: partial 16S ribosomal RNA
Rfam family: Bacterial small subunit ribosomal RNA
Source: RNAcentral
GACGAACGCUGGCGGCGUGCUUAACACAUGCAAGUCGAACGGAAAGGCCCUGCUUUUGUGGGGUGCUCGAGUGGCGAACGGGUGAGUAACACGUGAGUAACCUGCCCUUGACUUUGGGAUAACUUCAGGAAACUGGGGCUAAUACCGGAUAGGAGCUCCUGCUGCAUGGUGGGGGUUGGAAAGUUUCGGCGGUUGGGGAUGGACUCGCGGCUUAUCAGCUUGUUGGUGGGGUAGUGGCUUACCAAGGCUUUGACGGGUAGCCGGCCUGAGAGGGUGACCGGCCACAUUGGGACUGAGAUACGGCACAGACUCGUAAGGGAGGAAGCAGUGGGGAAUAUUGAACAAUGGGCGGAAGCCUGAUGCAGCAACGCCGCGUGCGGGAUGACGGCCUUCGGGUUGUAAACCGCUUUCGCCUGUGACGAAGCGUGAGUGACGGUAAUGGGUAAAGAAGCACCGGCUAACUACGUG